Molecule: ribosomal RNA, 603 nt
Filed under: uncultured fungus
Lineage: Eukaryota; Fungi
Description: eukaryotic LSU rRNA
Rfam family: Eukaryotic large subunit ribosomal RNA
Source: RNAcentral
ACCCGCUGAACUUAAGCAUAUCAAUAAGCGGAGGAAAAGAAACCAACAGGGAUUGCCCUAGUAACGGCGAGUGAAGCGGCGACAGCUCAAAUUUGAAAUCUGGCGUCUUUGGCGUCCGAGUUGUAAUUUGCAGAGGGCGCUUUGGCAUUGGCAGCGGUCCAAGUUCCUUGGAACAGGACGUCACAGAGGGUGAGAAUCCCGUACGUGGUCGCUAGCCUUUACCGUGUAAAGCCCCUUCGACGAGUCGAGUUGUUUGGGAAUGCAGCUCUAAAUGGGAGGUAAAUUUCUUCUAAAGCUAAAUACUGGCCAGAGACCGAUAGCGCACAAGUAGAGUGAUCGAAAGAUGAAAAGCACUUUGGAAAGAGAGUUAAAAAGCACGUGAAAUUGUUGAAAGGGAAGCGCUUGCAGCCAGACUUGCCUGUAGUUGCUCAUCCGGGUUUCUACCCGGUGCACUCUUCUAUAGGCAGGCCAGCAUCAGUUUGGGCGGUUGGAUAAAGGUCUCUGUCAUGUACCUCUCUUCGGGGAGAACUUAUAGGGGAGACGACAUGCAACCAGCCUGGACUGAGGUCCGCGCAUCUGCUAGGAUGCUGGCGUAAUGGCUGU